CAGGGGAGGCCAGGUCCUGGGAUGUGUCCCCCUGGUGCCCUGGGCUCCAGGGCCUGUGCUGCUGGAAUCAUGCUCCCGGGCCCUGCAGCCCUUU
This 94-nucleotide microRNA precursor is filed under the name Canis lupus familiaris (dog). Its description in RNAcentral is "mir-8799 microRNA precursor family". It matches the Rfam family "mir-8799 microRNA precursor family". The record is from Rfam by way of RNAcentral. RNAcentral also lists the same sequence under 1 other name. Lineage: Eukaryota; Metazoa; Chordata; Mammalia; Carnivora; Canidae.